RNAcentral lists this ribosomal RNA (412 nucleotides) under Xanthomelon pachystylum. Its description in RNAcentral is "partial 16S ribosomal RNA". It matches the Rfam family "Archaeal large subunit ribosomal RNA", at positions 1900 to 2656 of the family's 2987-position model. The record is from RNAcentral. Lineage: Eukaryota; Metazoa; Mollusca; Gastropoda; Stylommatophora; Camaenidae.
CAAAAACAUAGUCAGUAGUUAAAAUUAUUGAUAAUUUCUGCUCAAUGAAUUUUAAAUAGCCGCAGUACCCUGACUGUGCUAAGGUAGCAUAAUCAUUUGGCUUUUAAUUGAAGUCUGGUAUGAACGAAUAUAUGGGGAAAAGCUAUAUAACUAAUAUAUGUUGAAGUUACUUAAUAAGUGCAAAUACUUAUAUAUAAAAAAUAGACGAGAAGACCCUAGAAAUUUUAAGAAUUUAAACUAAAAGUUUUUGUUGGGGCAACAAUGUAACAAAUAAAUUUACAUAUUAACAAGAAAGUAAUAGAAAGAAUAAAUUACUCUAGGGAUAACAGCGUAAUGUUAAAUCGUUUGCGACCUCGAUGUUGGACUAGGAAUUAUUAGUCCAGAAGGCUAAAUAAGUUGCUCUGUUCGAGCA